UACACAUGCAGUCGAGCGGUAACAGAGAGAAGCUUGCUUCUCGCUGACGAGCGGCGGACGGGUGAGUAAUACUUAGGAAUCUACCUAGUAGUGGGGGAUAGCUCGGGGAAACUCGAAUUAAUACCGCAUACGACCUACGGGAGAAAGGGGGCAACUUGUUGCUCUCGCUAUUAGAUGAGCCUAAGUCGGAUUAGCUAGAUGGUGGGGUAAAGGCCUACCAUGGCGACGAUCUGUAGCUGGUCUGAGAGGAUGAUCAGCCACACCGGGACUGAGACACGGCCCGGACUCCUACGGGAGGCAGCAGUGGGGAAUAUUGGACAAUGGGGGCAACCCUGAUCCAGCCAUGCCGCGUGUGUGAAGAAGGCCUUUUGGUUGUAAAGCACUUUAAGCAGUGAAGAAGACUCCAUGGUUAAUACCCAUGGACGAUGACAUUAGCUGCAGAAUAAGCACCGGCUAACUCUGUGCCAGCAGCCGCGGUAAUACAGAGGGUGCAAGCGUUAAUCGGAAUUACUGGGCGUAAAGCGAGCGUAGGUGGCUUGAUAAGUCAGAUGUGAAAGCCCCGGGCUUAACCUGGGAACGGCAUCUGAUACUGUUAGGCUAGAGUAGGUGAGAGGAAGGUAGAAUUCCAGGUGUAGCGGUGAAAUGCGUAGAGAUCUGGAGGAAUACCGAUGGCGAAGGCAGCCUUCUGGCAUCAUACUGACACUGAGGUUCGAAAGCGUGGGUAGCAAACAGGAUUAGAUACCCUGGUAGUCCACGCCGUAAACGAUGUCUACUAGUCGUUGGGUCCCUUGAGGACUUAGUGACGCAGCUAACGCAAUAAGUAGACCGCCUGGGGAGUACGGCCGCAAGGUUAAAACUCAAAUGAAUUGACGGGGGCCCGCACAAGCGGUGGAGCAUGUGGUUUAAUUCGAUGCAACGCGAAGAACCUUACCUGGUCUUGACAUAUCUAGAAUCCUGCAGAGAUGCGAGAGUGCCUUCGGGAAUUAGAAUACAGGUGCUGCAUGGCUGUCGUCAGCUCGUGUCGUGAGAUGUUGGGUUAAGUCCCGCAACCAGC
Molecule: ribosomal RNA, 1054 nt
Filed under: Psychrobacter faecalis
Lineage: Bacteria; Pseudomonadati; Pseudomonadota; Gammaproteobacteria; Moraxellales; Moraxellaceae
Description: bacterial SSU rRNA
Rfam family: Bacterial small subunit ribosomal RNA
Source: RNAcentral